AGCUUUUGAACCUGGAUAAUAGCAUGUGGAAAGAGAUGCUGGAUCACUGCAGGAGCUCUCCGGCUUCUCAGCCACAAGCCAAAUGUUUUGAAAAGUUGGACGAGAAUGGAAUGCUACAAACUUCGUCAGGAAGUGAACCAAUAGAAGCAAUAAAAAGCGAUAGGUGGCCUAUAAUUGGUGGAAAGGAAGCUCUGAAAUGUUCUGUGACAAAUCUUAAGCAAGUCGACGAUUUCAAGUAUAUUGGAUGUGCACAAAUAAAUGUUUUUGGAUCCUAUCCUGACCAGUGUACAACAAUAUUUGACCAAGAUCAGAUUGGAAUUUCUUCUGAAACUAAUAUGAGCUUAACAAUUGUCCAGAAGCAGAAAUUUACUAUUCAUGAUAUAUCUCCUGAUUGGGGUUAUGCAUCUGAUGCAACAAAGGUAGUUAUAAUUGGAUCGUAUCUCUGCAAUCCAUCAGAGUACACGUGGACUUGUAUGUUUGGUGAUACUGAAGUUCCUGUUCAGAUCAUUAAGGACGGUGCCAUCCGCUGCCAGGCGCCUCCUCACUUGCCAGGUAAAGUCGCACUUUGUGUUACUACUGGCAAUAGGACACCUUGCAGUGAAGUAAGAGAGUUUGAAUACCGUGCUAAGUUUGAUGAUCGUGGUCAAAAUGUCGUACCUGAAGUCGGAGGAGCUUCUAAGAGUU
This 684-nucleotide unclassified non-coding RNA is filed under the name Hevea brasiliensis (rubber tree). Lineage: Eukaryota; Viridiplantae; Streptophyta; Magnoliopsida; Malpighiales; Euphorbiaceae. The record is from RNAcentral.